AAUAAAUCUAAGUUUUUAUUAUUUUUUUAUAUAUGUAAUUUUAUUUUCUUUAAAGUUAACAGUCAAUAACCUAAUCCCUGUUACUAUAUGCAUGUAACUAUAUUAUAUAUCAUAAUAUGAUAUAUAUGACAAUAUGAUAUAUAUGAUAUAUAUGAAUCGAUUCAUAUAUAAUAUAGUAACAUAAAUAUAUAAUAUAGUAACAAGAUAUAACAGUAAAAAAAAUUAUAUGUGUACUACUUAUAAUAAUCUAAAGUACUUUGAGUUACAGGAAAGUUCGAGUUAUCUGAGGUUUGAGAUAUUGGGAGUUUACUGUAUUCUUAUGAUUAUUAUUUUUACAUUCCAUCUACAUAGAAUUUUGAAUUAUAUGCUGAAAGUUGCACUUUUUUAUAUAUAUAUUUUUUAAAUUUUAAUUUAUUAUACUUUUGCAAUAUUCAAUAAAAAUACGUAUGAUAAAGCUUUAUUAAUAUAUCAAUGAUUUAACAUUUAGUGCACAAACAAAUUAAAUAAUACAUUUAUUAAUGUUAGAAUAUGAUUGUUUUGUAUUUUAAUGGUGAAAAAAUCAAAAUUUUACAUAAUAUUUUUAGUAGAAAAUUUUAUAAGGAUUUCUUGAAAAAAUAAUGACAAAAUUGAUAGUUUUUCGUAACUUCAAAUGUUAUAACUUUUCCAAUUCUUAUCAAAAUGUAUACAAUUUGGUAUAAAAACAAAGAUAUGAAAAAGAAAAGGCACCUACAACACCCAGUAAUAUGUUACGAAUGUAUAUUUGAAAGCGUCGAUUGUUAAGUCUGUUUGUCAGGCGUCAAGUCAGGUUAUCUUGCUACUGGUACCAUGUAGUACAUCCUGCUUAAGCAAGUUGUAUGCCAUCCAUACGACGUUUGGGCAUCUGUUUGUAAAAUAUUGCUGCAAAUCUUUUUGAGAGAGCCAUUACUAUCGAGAACCAUCUAAACCAUACAAGUGUGGAAACAUGGAUGUAAAUCUUAAACACAUCUGUGAUAUAUAGUUGUAGAAUGUUAUAUUUUAUAAGUUUGGAAAUUAUAUUUUGCUAAAAAAACUUUUUAAAUGUAUUUUAGCAGAACAUACCUGGCCCGCAUUUGAUACUGAAAAACGUUCUUCUUGGACCAAAUGCUGGCUGGGUAAUUUGGACUUGUAAAUGAACUUAUAUUCAUAAUUUUUAAACUGCUUAUGAUCUGAUCUGAUUUUAUUUUUGUCAUUUGUUUAUUUAGAUUAAUGUGAAAUAAACUGAUGAGUUUAACUUAGCUGGUAAAAAAAAGAGUUUUUGUGAAACAAAUUUAUUGAAGACAAUUAUAGAAUGAAGUUCAUUUAUUUGCUGGCAGCAUUUUUAAACGUGGUCCAGAUCGAAAAAAUUUGGUGCUAGAUUUUGUCGAUAGUGGAAGUGAUAGAUGUAUCGAACCUAAUUUGUAAUUAAUUUCUGUAAAUAAAUUUCACUUUACUAAUUUUUGUGUUG
Long non-coding RNA from Hydra vulgaris (swiftwater hydra), 1462 nucleotides. RefSeq lists it as uncharacterized. Lineage: Eukaryota; Metazoa; Cnidaria; Hydrozoa; Anthoathecata; Hydridae. The record is from RefSeq and is a predicted model, not a curated record.